CUACGGGCCGCUGCAGUGGGGAAUAUUGGACAAUGGGGGAAACCCUGAUCCAGCAAUGCCGCGUGUGUGAAGAAGGCCUGCGGGUUGUAAAGCACUUUCGGUUGGGAGGACUGCUUCUAGCACUAAUAUUGUUGGAAGUUGACGUUACCUUCAGAAGAAGCACCGGCUAACUCCGUGCCAGCAGCCGCGGUAAUAGCGGAGGGUGCAAGCGUUAAUCGGAAUUACUGGGCGUAAAGCGCGCGUAGGCGGCUAGAUCAGUCGGGUGUGAAAGCCCCGGGCUUAACCUGGGAACUGCAUCCGAUACUGUCUAGCUUGAGUACAGGAGAGGAGAGUGGAAUUCCACAUGUAGCGGUGAAAUGCGUAGAUAUGUGGAGGAACACCAAUGGCGAAGGCAGCUCUCUGGCCUGAUACUGACGCUGAGGUGCGAAAGCGUGGGGAUCAAACAGGAUUAGAUACCCUCGUAGUC
RNAcentral lists this ribosomal RNA (466 nucleotides) under uncultured bacterium. RNAcentral describes it as "partial 16S ribosomal RNA". It matches the Rfam family "Bacterial small subunit ribosomal RNA", at positions 339 to 795 of the family's 1533-position model. The record is from RNAcentral.